AUUGAACGCUGGCGGCAUGCUUUACACAUGCAAGUCGAACGGUAACAGGGUGCUUGCCCCGCUGACGAGUGGCGAACGGGUGAGUAAUGCAUCGGAAUGUACCGUGUAAUGGGGGAUAGCUCGGCGAAAGCCGGAUUAAUACCGCAUACGCCCUGAGGGGGAAAGUGGGGGACCGAAAGGCCUCACGUUAUACGAGCAGCCGAUGUCUGAUUAGCUAGUUGGUGAGGUAAAGGCUUACCAAGGCGUCGAUCAGUAGCGGGUCUGAGAGGAUGAUCCGCCACACUGGGACUGAGACACGGCCCAGACUCCUACGGGAGGCAGCAGUGGGGAAUUUUGGACAAUGGGCGCAAGCCUGAUCCAGCCAUGCCGCGUGUCUGAAGAAGGCCUUCGGGUUGUAAAGGACUUUUGUCCGGGAGCAAAUCCUAGUGGUUAAUACCUACUGGGGCUGAGAGUACCGGAAGAAUAAGCACCGGCUAACUACGUG
This 484-nucleotide ribosomal RNA is filed under the name uncultured bacterium. Its description in RNAcentral is "partial 16S ribosomal RNA". It matches the Rfam family "Bacterial small subunit ribosomal RNA", at positions 30 to 507 of the family's 1533-position model. The record is from RNAcentral.